This 510-nucleotide ribosomal RNA is filed under the name marine sponge bacterium PLATEchitin+(1)-2. RNAcentral describes it as "partial 16S ribosomal RNA". It matches the Rfam family "Bacterial small subunit ribosomal RNA", at positions 93 to 638 of the family's 1533-position model. The record is from RNAcentral.
GAGCGGCGGACGGGUUAGUAACGCGUGGGAACAUACCCUUUGGUACGGAAUAGCCUCUGGAAACGGAGAGUAAUACCGUAUGAGCCCUUCGGGGGAAAGAUUUAUCGCCAAAGGAUUGGCCCGCGUUAGAUUAGGUAGUUGGUGGGGUAAUGGCCUACCAAGCCUACGAUCUAUAGCUGGUUUUAGAGGAUGAUCANCAACACUGGGACUGANACACGGCCCANACUCCUACGGGAGGCAGCAGUGGGGAAUCUUGGACAAUGGGGGCAACCCUGAUCCANCCAUGCCGCGUGAGUGAUGAAGGCCUUAGGGUCGUAAAGCUCUUUCNCCUGUGAAGAUAAUGACGGUAGCAGGUAAAGAAACCCCGGCUAACUCCGUGCCAGCAGCCGCGGUAAUACNGAGGGGGUUAGCGUUGUUCGNAAUUACUGGGCGUAAAGCGNANGUAGGCGGACUGNAAANUUGGGGGUGAAAUCCCAGGGNUCAACCCUGGAACUGCCUCCAAAACUAUCA